GACGAACGCUGGCGGCGUGCUUAACACAUGCAAGUCGAACGGAAAGGCCCUACUUUUUUGGGGUUCGCGAGGGGCGAACGGGUGAGUAACACGUGAGUAACCGGCCCUUGACUUUGGGAUAACGUCAGGAAAGUGGAGCUAAUACCGUAUAGCAGCUCCUGCUGCAUGGUGGGGGUUGGAAAGUUUCGGCGGGGGGGGAUGGACGCGCGGCUGAUCAGCUUGUUGGUGGGGUAGUGGCUUACCAAGGCUUUGACGGGUAGCCGGCCUGAGAGGGUGACCGGCGACAUUGGGACUGAGAGACGCAGCAGACUCCUAUGGGAGGCAGAGGUGGGGAAUAUUGCACAAUGGGCGGAAGCCUGAUGCGGCAACGCUGCGUGCGGGAUGACGGCCUUUGGGUUGUAAAACGCUUUCGCCUGUGACGAAGCGUGAGUGACGGUACUGGGUAAAGAAGCACCGGCUAACUACGUG
This 468-nucleotide ribosomal RNA is filed under the name uncultured bacterium. RNAcentral describes it as "partial 16S ribosomal RNA". It matches the Rfam family "Bacterial small subunit ribosomal RNA", at positions 28 to 507 of the family's 1533-position model. The record is from RNAcentral.